CCUACGGGACGCAGCAGUGGGGAAUAUUGCACAAUGGGCGCAAGCCUGAUGCAGCCAUGCCGCGUGUAUGAAGAAGGCCCUAGGGUUGUAAAGUACUUUCAGUCGGGAGGAAGGCGUUGAUGCUAAUAUCAUCAGCGAUUGACGUUACCGACAGAAGAAGCACCGGCUAACUCCGUGCCAGCAGCCGCGGUAAUACGGAGGGUGCAAGCGUUAAUCGGAAUUACUGGGCGUAAAGCGCACGCAGGCGGUUGAUUAAGUUAGAUGUGAAAUCCCCGGGCUUAACCUGGGAAUGGCAUCUAAGACUGGUCAGCUAGAGUCUUGUAGAGGGGGGUAGAAUUCCAUGUGUAGCGGUGAAAUGCGUAGAUAUUAGGAGGAACGCCAGUGGCGAAGGCGGCCUGCUGGACAUUAACUGACGCUGAGGAGCGAAAGCGUGGUGAGCAAACAGGAUUAGAUACCCGCGUAGUC
This 465-nucleotide ribosomal RNA is filed under the name uncultured bacterium. RNAcentral's name for it is "bacterial SSU rRNA". It matches the Rfam family "Bacterial small subunit ribosomal RNA", at positions 338 to 795 of the family's 1533-position model. The record is from RNAcentral.